Molecule: ribosomal RNA, 482 nt
Filed under: uncultured bacterium
Lineage: Bacteria
Description: partial 16S ribosomal RNA
Rfam family: Bacterial small subunit ribosomal RNA
Source: RNAcentral
AUUGAACGCUGGCGGCAUGCCUUACACAUGCAAGUCGAACGGUAACGGGCCUUCGGGUGCUGACGAGUGGCGAACGGGUGAGUAAUACAUCGGAACGUGCCCGAUCGUGGGGGAUAACGAGGCGAAAGCUUUGCUAAUACCGCAUACGAUCUACGGAUGAAAGCCGGGGACCGCAAGGCCUUGCGCGGACGGAGCGGCCGAUGGCAGAUUAGGUAGUUGGUGGGAUAAAAGCUUACCAAGCCGACGAUCUGUAGCUGGUCUGAGAGGAUGAUCAGCCACACUGGGACUGAGACACGGCCCAGACUCCUACGGGAGGCAGCAGUGGGGAAUUUUGGACAAUGGGCGCAAGCCUGAUCCAGCCAUGCCGCGUGCAGGAUGAAGGCCUUCGGGUUGUAAACUGCUUUUGUACGGAACGAAAAGCCUUCUUUUAAUACAGGAGGGUCAUGACGGUACCGUAAGAAUAAGCACCGGCUAACUACGUG